GGGGAUGUUCCAGAGUUGGCCAAAUGGGACGGACUGUAAAUCCGUUAGCUUUGCUUUCAGUGGUUCGAAUCCGCUCAUCCCCACCA
This 86-nucleotide transfer RNA is filed under the name Anaerococcus prevotii. RNAcentral's name for it is "tRNA-Tyr(gta)". It matches the Rfam family "tRNA". From Rfam's summary of the family: Transfer RNA (tRNA) molecules are approximately 80 nucleotides in length. Their secondary structure includes four short double-helical elements and three loops (D, anti-codon, and T loops). Lineage: Bacteria; Bacillati; Bacillota; Tissierellia; Tissierellales; Peptoniphilaceae. RNAcentral also lists the same sequence under 13 other names. The record is from RNAcentral.